GCGGGCUUCCCAUUAGCGGAGUCAAAUCAGUCCAGUGUCCCCAGGAUCCCCAUGACCUGCAGUGCCUGGCACCGGGCGCUCAGUAAACAUUGAUGAAUGAGUGAACGAACAAGAAAACAAGCUUCGGGUAAACCAGCCCCUCUCUGGGCUACUUCCUUUUUAAAAAAUUUGUUAUUUAAAAAAAAGAAUUUUUUUUUUUUUUGGCUGCACUGCAGAGCAGUGCAGGACCUUAGUUCCCCGACCAGCGAUUAAACCUGGGCCUUUGGCUGAGAGCGUGGUGUCUUAACCACUGGGAAUUCCUCCCCAUCCUGCCCCCCACCUUUUAUUUUUAAAGUGUUAAGACACAGGGAUGGAGGUUGCUGAAGACACGCUCCUUCUCUAGCUCCUGAAGCGCCCCCUCCAGACUUGAUGGGAAGCCAGAUCAUCUGACCCUAGAACACAUGCAGUGAGCCCUUUGUCAUACAGCCGUUGCAGGCACGGACUGUUUCUACUCCAUGGAUUCUCCGUCCAUGGACUCUCUGAUGCCAGUCCCCAUCCAGGUGUCUCAGGCUCAGCCCUUCCAUGUCAAACACCAUCAUGGCCGUGUCGACCCUCCUGCCCAGCUGCACGGGACAGAGCGGGUACUCGGAUCAGAUGACGGCUCCAGCCAGGAGGACCCUCCCUCCACCGUCCUGCCCCCUCCCCCCAGCUGCCCACAGCAUUUUCCAAACAGACAGAGCCCAUCCAGGGUCUAAGGAGGUGCCACCUCUGAGCCUUAGCGUGGUGGCCCCCACACACUGUUCAACAUUGUAGCCUGGAAUGAGUUAACUGUGAUUAAAGACGUCAUUUGUUCACUGGUCAUCUUCACACACAGUAGUACACUUGUCAGCCAGUGAUGCAGCCCCACAGGUGAGUCCAAGCCAGAACUGCUGGGGGGGGGCUGUGUGGCUUUGAAAAUGUUAGUCGCUCAGUCGUGUCCGACUCUUUGAGUCCAAGGACUGCAGCCCAACAGUCUUCUCUGUCCAUGGGAUUCUCCAGUCAGGAAUAUUGGAGGGGGUUGCCAUUCCCUCCUCCAGGGGGUCUUCCCAACCCAGGGAUCGAACCUGGGUCUCCCUGCAUUGCAGGCAGAUUCUUAACCAUCUGAGUCACCAGGCCUUGGGUGGAUUUUUAAUCCCUCUGAGCCUUA
Long non-coding RNA from Cervus elaphus (red deer), 1165 nucleotides. RefSeq lists it as uncharacterized. The record is from RefSeq and is a predicted model, not a curated record. The transcript has 3 exons. Lineage: Eukaryota; Metazoa; Chordata; Mammalia; Artiodactyla; Cervidae.